GAUGAAGAACGCAGUGAAAUGCGAUAAGUAAUGUGAAUUGCAGAAUUCAGUGAAUCAUCGAAUCUUUGAACGCACCUUGCGCCUUUUGGUAUUCCGAAAGGCACACCUGUUUGAGCGUCAUGAAUACCUCAAUCUCCAUCUUUUCUUCGGAUUGAUGGGUGACUUGGAUGUUGAGCCCUGCUGGUAUGCUAUAUCAGCUGGGUUUAAACUUAUUAGCCGGCUCUGUACUGGAUCGGUUUGACUCGACGUGAUAAUAUUAUCGUUGAGGAUGCAUGUCUCAUGCAGCCGGAAAGUAUCAAAGCAGCUUCUAGCUUGCCUUUAGUGCACUUUUACAUUUUAGACCUCAGAUCAGGUGGGACUACCCGCUGAACUUAAGCAUAUCAAUAAGCGGAGGA
Molecule: unclassified non-coding RNA, 395 nt
Filed under: soil metagenome
Description: partial contains 5.8S ribosomal RNA, internal transcribed spacer 2, and large subunit ribosomal RNA
Rfam family: 5.8S ribosomal RNA (bases 1-120)
Source: RNAcentral